GCACCCGUAAACCCUGAACAAGUGAAUUUCCAAUAGAGCAAAUAUCCGACUGAGUCUAUUUCCCGACCCCUUUCGCCUUGAUAGGGCGCCCAUCGAACGCGGUAACGUUAGUUCGAUGGAAGGUGUAUAUCGGUGGAUGUACCGGCUGUAGAGGACAUGCUAAUACGACACUUCUUUCACUGGUGUUCCUUGAAGCUGGUUGCUUAAAGAUCUUGAUUUCACUUAGCGUAAACGAAACACGAAUGGCGAACAAGGUACGCAGAUGGGCCGGGAUUAUUCGCGAACUCACUGGUAAACAUCGGCGGUCAACUUGCGUAUGAUCCUUGUGUGACACAUCAGUGUCCGUGCGUCACAUGGGGCAGGACGGUCCGACGCCAGAUGGUGUAAAUGACGUGACAAGGGAUAGGAUGCGACAAGCAACGCAUCGAUAUAUACAUUGCCUUUCCGUGGCACCAGGUCGGGCGUCGGGGUUUCGCAAACGGUCCGAUGAUGAAGCCUUUAAAGAUCCUAUGAUUCGACGAAUUCGUCUCCGGAAAGCUGUUUAGACCUUGC
Varroa destructor (honeybee mite) is the source of this 552-nucleotide long non-coding RNA. RefSeq lists it as uncharacterized. NCBI's taxonomy places the organism in Eukaryota, Metazoa, Arthropoda, Arachnida, Mesostigmata, Varroidae. The record is from RefSeq and is a predicted model, not a curated record.